UACGUAGGCGGCAUAAUAAGUCUGUUGUGAAAUACCCGGGCUCAACCCGGGGGUUGCAGUAGAAACUGUUAAGCUAGAGUACAGGAGGGGUAAGCGGAAUUCCUAGUGUAGCGGUGAAAUGCAUAGAUAUUAGGAGGAACACCAGUGGCGAAGGCGGCUUACUGGACUGAUACAGACGCUGACGUACGAAAGCGUGGGGAGCGAACA
Molecule: ribosomal RNA, 207 nt
Filed under: uncultured bacterium
Lineage: Bacteria
Description: partial 16S ribosomal RNA
Rfam family: Bacterial small subunit ribosomal RNA
Source: RNAcentral